GGAGACACACGGCGGGUGCUAACGUCCGUCGUGAAGAGGGAAACAACCCAGACCGCCAGCUAAGGUCCCAAAGUCAUGGUUAAGUGGGAAACGAUGUGGGAAGGCCCAGACAGCCAGGAUGUUGGCUUAGAAGCAGCCAUCAUUUAAAGAAAGCGUAAUAGCUCACUGGUCGAGUCGGCCUGCGCGGAAGAUGUAACGGGGCUAAACCAUGCACCGAAGCUGCGGCAGCGACGCUGAUGCGUUGUUGGGUAGGGGAGCGUUCUGUAAGCCUGCGAAGGUGACCUGUGAGGGUUGCUGGAGGUAUCAGAAGUGCGAAUGCUGACAUAAGUAACGAUAAAGCGGGUGAAAAGCCCGCUCGCCGGAAGACCAAGGGUUCCUGUCCAACGUUAAUCGGGGCAGGGUGAGUCGACCCCUAAGGCGAGGCCGAAAGGCGUAGUCGAUGGGAAACGGGUUAAUAUUCCCGUACUUGGUGUUACUGCGAAGGGGGGACGGAGAAGGCUAUGUUGGCCGGGCGACGGUUGUCCCGGUUUAAGCGUGUAGGUGUGUGUUCCAGGUAAAUCCGGUUCACUUUAACACUGAGGCGUGACGACGAGGCACUACGGUGCUGAAGCAACAAAUGCCCUGCUUCCAGGAAAAGCCUCUAAGCAUCAGGUAACAUCAAAUCGUACCCCAAACCGACACAGGUGGUCAGGUAGAGAAUACCAAGGCGCUUGAGAGAACUCGGGUGAAGGAACUAGGCAAAAUGGUGCCGUAACUUCGGGAGAAGGCACGCUGACACGUAGGUGAAGUGAUUUACUCAUGGAGCUGAAGUCAGUCGAAGAUACCAGCUGGCUGCAACUGUUUAUUAAAAACACAGCACUGUGCAAACACGAAAGUGGACGUAUACGGUGUGACGCCUGCCCGGUGCCGGAAGGUUAAUUGAUGGGGUCAGCGUAAGCGAAGCUCCUGAUCGAAGCCCCGGUAAACGGCGGCCGUAACUAUAACGGUCCUAAGGUAGCGAAAUUCCUUGUCGGGUAAGUUCCGACCUGCACGAAUGGCGUAAUGAUGGCCAGGCUGUCUCCACCCGAGACUCAGUGAAAUUGAACUCGCUGUGAAGAUGCAGUGUACCCGCGGCAAGACGGAAAGACCCCGUGAACCUUUACUAUAGCUUGACACUGAACAUUGAGCCUUGAUGUGUAGGAU
RNAcentral lists this ribosomal RNA (1182 nucleotides) under Salmonella enterica subsp. enterica serovar Typhimurium. Its description in RNAcentral is "bacterial LSU rRNA". It matches the Rfam family "Bacterial large subunit ribosomal RNA", at positions 980 to 2144 of the family's 2925-position model. Lineage: Bacteria; Pseudomonadati; Pseudomonadota; Gammaproteobacteria; Enterobacterales; Enterobacteriaceae. The record is from RNAcentral.